UCUGAAGCAGAUGUAUGGGUUCAAACAGCGGAUGGGAGGCCUUAUGUUGGUGACGUGUGGCCUGGGCCUUGUGUGUUUCCGGAUUUCACUCAAUUGAAAGCCAGAUCAUGGUGGGCUAACCUAGUUAAAGAUUUCAUUUCCAAUGGUGUGGACGGUAUAUGGAAUGACAUGAACGAACCAGCUGUUUUUAAGACAGUAACAAAGACAAUGCCGGAGAAUAAUAUUCACAGGGGAGAUCCUGAAUUUGGAGGUUGCCAGAAUCAUUCAUACUAUCACAAUGUUUAUGGGAUGCUCAUGGCACGAUCAACCUAUGAAGGAAUGAAGCUAGCUAAUGGAAAUAAACGUCCUUUUGUUCUCACACGGGCUGGAUUUGUGGGUAGCCAGAGGUAUGCUGCUACAUGGACAGGGGAUAACCUUUCUACAUGGGAGCACUUGCAGAUGAGUAUCCCCAUGGUUCUUCA
This 461-nucleotide unclassified non-coding RNA is filed under the name Hevea brasiliensis (rubber tree). The record is from RNAcentral. Lineage: Eukaryota; Viridiplantae; Streptophyta; Magnoliopsida; Malpighiales; Euphorbiaceae.